This 422-nucleotide ribosomal RNA is filed under the name Laparocerus mucronatus. RNAcentral's name for it is "partial 16S ribosomal RNA". Lineage: Eukaryota; Metazoa; Arthropoda; Insecta; Coleoptera; Curculionidae. The record is from RNAcentral.
GGUAUUUUGACCGUGCAAAGGUAGCAUAAUCAUUAGUUUUUUAAUUGAAAGCUGGAAUGAAAGGUUGGAUGAGAAAUAAGCUGUCUCUAUUUAAUUUUAUUAGAAUUUUAUUUUUAAGUAAAAAAGCUUAAAUUUUAAUAGAAGACGAGAAGACCCUAUAGAGUUUUAUUUAUUUUUUAAAUAAGAUUAAUAGUAUUAAUUAUUUUUGUUUAAAUGAUAAAUUUGGUUGGGGUGAUUGAAAAAUUUAAUAAACUUUUUUUAUAUAAAUACAUUGAUAUAUGAUUAAUUGAUCCUUAAUUUAAGAUUAAAAGAUGAAAUUACCUUAGGGAUAACAGCGUAAUUUUUUUUGAGAGUUCUAAUCGAAAAAAAAGAUUGCGACCUCGAUGUUGGAUUAAAAUAAAAUUUUGGUGUAGAAGCUAGAA